This 285-nucleotide small nuclear RNA is filed under the name Canis lupus familiaris (dog). RNAcentral's name for it is "7SK RNA". It matches the Rfam family "7SK RNA". From Rfam's summary of the family: 7SK was discovered as an abundant small nuclear RNA in the mid-70s but a possible function has only recently been suggested. Two independent studies have found that 7SK RNA binds the CDK9/cyclin T complex (known as elongation factor P-TEFb). The record is from Rfam by way of RNAcentral. Lineage: Eukaryota; Metazoa; Chordata; Mammalia; Carnivora; Canidae.
GGAUGUAGGGGUGAUGUGGCUGCCAUAUAUGUCACCCCACUGGUAGCCAGAGUUGGUUCAGCUCAUCUGGCUGGUUAGGUGUCUCUUUCCUCUCUCACUGCUCCUACAGCUUCAUGUUCUCUUGAUUCAAGAGGAUGGCCUCCCUCACAGAGUUCUUCAGUCAAGGGUAUAACCAGUAGCCGUGCUCCCUGCUAGAGCCCUCAGACAAGCUCACAAGGUCCAUUUGUAGGAGACUCCAGACCGAUCCCAGUGUUGGGUGCUGCCCGCGGUAGCCUGCUUUUCUUU